Molecule: long non-coding RNA, 1187 nt
Filed under: Struthio camelus australis
Lineage: Eukaryota; Metazoa; Chordata; Aves; Struthioniformes; Struthionidae
Description: lncRNA (ENSSCUG00000009233.1)
Source: RNAcentral
CACAGCUGAUAACUGUGAGACUUUUCAGCCUUGCUUGAAAUCUGAUAAAAUUAAAAAAAUAAAAAUUUAAGGCACCACCACCAUAGUUCAGGUAGCAAUCGAGAGUGCUGUUUUCUUCCUGUUGUUACCUGUUGGCCAGCAAAAGUGGCCGUCACUCCCAUAAAUGUUUUCAGAGUUAAUAACAUGCCGAUCAGAUUUCCUUAUGCUCAGCUGCCCUGGGAAGCAAUGGGUCAAGGCUGGUACUGUGAAAGAGCAAGUGUAAGCUUGUUUCUGAACAGGAAUGUAAAUAGCAAGUAACCUGUCCAUUUCCCAGAUUGUGUUUUUGAUUUCCUGCACAGACUAGUUAUUUCAAGAGCACUUCAUUCCGUGCCUUCCAAUAAUGGUGAACAUGCUCAGGAAAACACGGUCAAAGCAAAUGUGGCAAAGUCUGCUUUGGAAAACAACGGUGAACUCCAUCAUGUGCUGAUGUUACUGCUUGGGAAGUGCUGCUCUCUUGAUUCUGACGAUAGAAACAGGGCCAGGGAAGCCCCCUUGACAGACAGCAGAUGACCCACUCCUAAGGACCAGGGGACAGUGUUGGGCAGGAAACACCCUCCCAUGGGAUUCUCUGAAAAGUGAAGAGAGAGCUACCUCCUAGAGGGUAAGGUGCUGGCUAAACGACUCCCUGUGCUCACUGAUGCCAUGAGUCAGGAGCAUGUAGACUGUCUUCUGUGGUGAAGGGUGGUUUUAGGAUCCGGAUCCAGAGCUGUUAUCUUUGAAGUCUGGGUUCUGUUCCUUGUUUUGUUGCAAGUACCUGACUUAGUUAUUUUGCGCAUUGGUUUCCGCGUUUGUAACCUGAAGAUAAAUACUAUCCCAUGCUUUAAAGAAAUUUACAAGUACUAAUGAAUUAAAUUGCUUAGCUGUCUGUAGGCUGAAUGUGAUCUAGAAGGAUAACGUUUUGUUCUACAAAAACUGAGAAAGUUUCUCUCACAGGAACAAGCUUCCCAUUCCCCAGUUAGAUGUAAAAAAUAUAAAAAAAGGAUGCUGUUUGCUAAAUACUAUUUCUCUAAAAGUUAUCAGCCAAGUGAGAUUUUGGAGGAAAAGGAUUUGAUCAACCUUUUAAAAAGUGUUUGAGACAGUGAUAUCUGUUGUUAGCUUUGGGAAAUUACCAUUUUCAUCUACAUUAAAUAAAUUUCCUAGCAUUGCCA